RNAcentral lists this long non-coding RNA (378 nucleotides) under Homo sapiens (human). RNAcentral describes it as "small nucleolar RNA host gene 28". Lineage: Eukaryota; Metazoa; Chordata; Mammalia; Primates; Hominidae. The record is from RNAcentral.
UUGAGACGGAGUCUCGCUCUGUCGCCCAGGCUGGAGUGCAGUGGCGCAAUCUCGGCUCACUGCAAGCUCCGCCUUCUGGGUUCACGCCAUUCUCCUGCCUCAGCCUUCCGAGUAGCUGGGACUACAGCUCCAGCCCACACUGUGAAGAGCCUUGUGCCCACAGCUGUGCACAUCCUGGGCUUCCUCCACACCUUGUCCAUAAACUGCCCCUCAGCUACCUUCAGACCCAGGAUACAGACGCAGCCUCCAGAAGAAUAAAUGCUCCAUUAGCAGCUGGCUGGAGCUGGCUGAGGCUCUGGCUGGUGACUCUGGCCUCUGGUGUAGACUUCCCUCAGAGGCCCUUCCUUCAGGCUGCAUGCAGAACAGAUGCAGGUAGCC